RNAcentral lists this ribosomal RNA (460 nucleotides) under uncultured bacterium. Its description in RNAcentral is "partial 16S ribosomal RNA". It matches the Rfam family "Bacterial small subunit ribosomal RNA", at positions 338 to 795 of the family's 1533-position model. The record is from RNAcentral.
CCUACGGGAGGCAGCAGUGAGGAAUAUUGGUCAAUGGACGCAAGUCUGAACCAGCCAUGCCGCGUGCAGGAGGACGGCUCUAUGAGUUGUAAACUGCUUUUGUCCGAGGGUAAAUACCGGGACGUGUCUCGGGAUGAGAGUAUCGGACGAAUAAGCAUCGGCUAACUCCGUGCCAGCAGCCGCGGUAAUACGGAGGAUUCAAGCGUUAUCCGGAUUUAUUGGGUUUAAAGGGUGCGUAGGCGGUUCGAUAAGUUAGAGGUGAAAUCCCGGGGCUCAACUCCGGCACUGCCUCUGAUACUGUCGGGCUAGAGUUUAGUUGCGGUAGGCGGAAUGUAUGGUGUAGCGGUGAAAUGCAUAGAGAUCGUACAGAACACCGAUUGCGAAGGCAGCUUACCAAACUACGACUGACGUUGAGGCACGAAAGCGUGGGGAGCGAACAGGAUUAGAUACCCCGGUAGUC